UGGGGUGGGACGACCGGUGGUGCGACGGUGGGGUGGGGUAGGACGGCAGGUGGAGAGACGGUGGGCUGGGGUGGGACGUCAGGUGGCGCGACGGUCGGGUGGGGCGGCAGGUGGCGGUGCGAAGCUGCUGUGUUUUCUUCUUGUUAGAGGGAAUUGAUACUUAGGAGUGAAAAUUUGAGAGGGAAUACUUAGGCGUGAAAAUUUGAGCGGGACUUAGCUGUUGUGUGUUUCUUAUUUUUGCUGCGUAAAGAUUAUAGGGUGAAUCUUUGUUUACUCUAUUUUUUUUUUCAUUUGUUUCAUUUUUAUUAUUAAUUAUUAAUCAAUUCUUGAUAUUUAGGUUUUUAAUAAUAUUUUUAGAUUUUAU
Molecule: long non-coding RNA, 364 nt
Filed under: Salvia miltiorrhiza (redroot sage)
Lineage: Eukaryota; Viridiplantae; Streptophyta; Magnoliopsida; Lamiales; Lamiaceae
Description: long non-coding RNA (SMIL_LNC009672)
Source: RNAcentral